Pyrenochaeta sp. MPI-SDFR-AT-0127 is the source of this 84-nucleotide non-coding RNA. The record is from the annotation of a GenBank genome assembly. Lineage: Eukaryota; Fungi; Ascomycota; Dothideomycetes; Pleosporales; Cucurbitariaceae.
GGCUCGAUGGUGUAGUUGGUUAUCACGUUCGCCUCACAUAUCCGAGUGCGCGAAAGGUCGCGAGUUCGAGCCUCGCUUGAGUCA